RNAcentral lists this unclassified non-coding RNA (753 nucleotides) under Hyalella azteca. Its description in RNAcentral is "rE1-silencing transcription factor, transcript variant X2". The record is from RNAcentral. Lineage: Eukaryota; Metazoa; Arthropoda; Malacostraca; Amphipoda; Hyalellidae.
ACAGCGUAGAAGUAGGGUGUGCGCGCCUCUUCUUCUCACUCCAGCCAUACACAUUGCUUGUGACCUGCAGUCGUGCUACAGCAGAACCGCCCACUUGAAGUCCACCUAACUCAGCUAUAAGUACUCGGUCAAGUCCUGAUGUUGACAAGGUUCUUCCCCGUCCAGAACCUCACUUCGAGCUCAAGAACUGAGAACGAAGCCUCAUCGUGGCCUUGGCAAUAGAGAAGCAAUUCAUUUACUGGAUAUCUUAUCAUCUUAUGCUUUGUAAGAAAUCAUUUUUGACGAUUUUGUUCAGCUUUACAGACGGUUCAGCAACUGUAUUCUCUAAAAAUAACUUUAUAUAUGUUCUACAGCGACGUUGCUGUCAGUUUCAUAUUCGUUGGCAUUGCUAUAACUGAGCUCAUGUUCAACUGAAUACACGAAUUGACGUGAAUCAGUCUUAAGUUCUGAGAAGCUUAUGAGCAACAGUCAAGCAAGACACACUGACAGAUUUUUAAACAUAUGUAUUUUUCAUUUGAAGAGGCCAGUUGGAAUUAUCAGAUUACAACCUUCCAGGAACAAUAUAACAUUCCAGAGACAAUAGUCGUGCAGCUAUCUUGACUGUCGCAGCUAUGAAAAUUUUAUUUACGACGGAAUGCAAGGAUAUGUAAUUUACUAGUCACUGUUUUGCUCAAUUGUUUUCUUAUACAUUGUGUUUCUUUCAGUUUUUGUUGAAAUGUUUUAUUUUCGUUGAGUAAUAAAUCUAAAUAAAAC